This 528-nucleotide ribosomal RNA is filed under the name uncultured bacterium. RNAcentral describes it as "bacterial SSU rRNA". It matches the Rfam family "Bacterial small subunit ribosomal RNA", at positions 8 to 518 of the family's 1533-position model. The record is from RNAcentral.
AGGGUUCGAUUCUGGCUCAGGAUGAACGCUAGCGACAGGCUUAACACAUGCAAGUCGAGGGGGCAGCACGGGAGUAGCAAUACUUUGGUGGCGACCGGCGCACGGGUGAGUAACGCGUAUGACAACCUACCUAUCGAGGAAGGGGAACGUAACCCGGACGAAAGUCGGACUAAUACCGCAAUAAAACAGGGGCACCGCAUGGUGAUAUUUGUUAAAGAAAUUCGCUGAUAGAUGGGCAUGCGUUCCAUUAGGUAGUUGGUGAGGUAACGGCUCACCAAGCCGACGAUGGAUAGGGGAACUGAGAGGUUGGUCCCCCACACUGGUACUGAGACACGGACCAGACUCCUACGGGAGGCAGCAGUGAGGAAUAUUGGUCAAUGGGCGGGAGCCUGAACCAGCCAAGUCGCGUGAAAGGAAGAAGGAUCUAUGGUUCGUAAACUUCUUUUGCAGGGGAAUAAAGUGCAGGACGUGUCCUGUUUUGUAUGUACCCUGAGAAUAAGGAUCGGCUAACUCCGUGCCAGCCGCAGC